RNAcentral lists this ribosomal RNA (839 nucleotides) under Gramella sp. MAR2010_2. Its description in RNAcentral is "bacterial SSU rRNA". It matches the Rfam family "Bacterial small subunit ribosomal RNA", at positions 22 to 851 of the family's 1533-position model. Lineage: Bacteria; Pseudomonadati; Bacteroidota; Flavobacteriia; Flavobacteriales; Flavobacteriaceae. The record is from RNAcentral.
GCUCAGGAUGAACGCUAGCGGCAGGCCUAACACAUGCAAGUCGAACGGUAACAGGGAAGAGCUUGCUCUUUCGCUGACGAGUGGCGCACGGGUGCGUAACGCGUAUACAAUCUGCCUUUAAGCGGGGAAUAGCCCAUGGAAACGUGGAUUAAUACCCCAUAGUAUGUAGACUUCACCUGGAGACUACAUUAAACAUUUAUGGCUUAAAGAUGAGUAUGCGUCCUAUUAGUUAGUUGGUAAGGUAACGGCUUACCAAGACCGCGAUAGGUAGGGGUCCUGAGAGGGAGAUCCCCCACACUGGUACUGAGACACGGACCAGACUCCUACGGGAGGCAGCAGUGAGGAAUAUUGGACAAUGGAGGCAACUCUGAUCCAGCCAUGCCGCGUGCAGGAAGACGGCCCUAUGGGUUGUAAACUGCUUUUAUACGGGAAGAACCACAUCUACGUGUAGAUGCUUGACGGUACCGUAUGAAUAAGGACCGGCUAACUCCGUGCCAGCAGCCGCGGUAAUACGGAGGGUCCAAGCGUUAUCCGGAAUCAUUGGGUUUAAAGGGUCCGUAGGCGGAAUAAUAAGUCAGUGGUGAAAGUCUGCAGCUCAACUGUAGAAUUGCCAUUGAUACUGUUAUUCUUGAAUUAUUAUGAAGUGGUUGGAAUGAGUAGUGUAGCGGUGAAAUGCAUAGAUAUUACUCAGAACACCUAUUGCGAAGGCAGAUCACUAAUAAUAUAUUGACGCUGAGGGACGAAAGCGUAGGUAGCGAACAGGAUUAGAUACCCUGGUAGUCUACGCCGUAAACGAUGGUUACUAGCUGUCCGGCCUAAUUGAGGGCUGGGUGGUUAAG